GGGGAUGUAGCUCAAUUGGAUAGAGCGCAACGCUACGAACGUUGGACGGCAUAGUGGAGGUUCGAGUCCUCCCAUCCCUGCCA
This 83-nucleotide transfer RNA is filed under the name Caudoviricetes sp. RNAcentral's name for it is "tRNA-Arg". It matches the Rfam family "tRNA". Rfam says of the family: Transfer RNA (tRNA) molecules are approximately 80 nucleotides in length. Their secondary structure includes four short double-helical elements and three loops (D, anti-codon, and T loops). The record is from RNAcentral. Lineage: Duplodnaviria; Heunggongvirae; Uroviricota; Caudoviricetes.